AAUAAGUACAGUUUUGCAUUAUUCACGUUCAACAUUUGAUCGUUCGUCUUAUUUGAAAUUUUUUUAUAAUUAAUAUUUUUAUUGCUAUUAGAUGAUAAAAUAUGAAUAAUACUUUAUGUGUGACUAAAUAUUUUCAAAUUUUUCAAAUAAGACAGACGGUCAAACGUUGGGCACAAAUAUCCACGACUGCACUUAUU
RNAcentral lists this microRNA precursor (197 nucleotides) under Oryza glumipatula. Its description in RNAcentral is "MIR812 microRNA precursor family". It matches the Rfam family "MIR812 microRNA precursor family". The record is from Rfam by way of RNAcentral. Lineage: Eukaryota; Viridiplantae; Streptophyta; Magnoliopsida; Poales; Poaceae.